GUGUCCCCUAGAGUUCCCCUCAACGCUUCAUUGAGGACUGAUUAGGUUCACUUUCACUGGUCCUCACUGAAGUGUUUGGGGGAGCUCCCGGUGGCUC
This is a microRNA precursor of Vigna angularis (adzuki bean), 97 nucleotides long. It matches the Rfam family "mir-395 microRNA precursor family". From Rfam's summary of the family: mir-395 was identified in both Arabidopsis thaliana and Oryza sativa computationally and was later experimentally verified. mir-395 is thought to target mRNAs coding for ATP sulphurylases. The mature sequence is excised from the 3' arm of the hairpin. The record is from Rfam. Lineage: Eukaryota; Viridiplantae; Streptophyta; Magnoliopsida; Fabales; Fabaceae.